Molecule: long non-coding RNA, 568 nt
Organism: Gasterosteus aculeatus aculeatus (three-spined stickleback)
Lineage: Eukaryota; Metazoa; Chordata; Actinopteri; Perciformes; Gasterosteidae
Source: Ensembl
CUGAAAUUGCAACAUAAUUUUGUCUGGCUCGGGUGAAAAUCCGUUAUUUGAACACUUGCGCAAUAAUAACGCUGACGACGCGGCGCGAGACGACAACCGCGGAUGGGGGGGGCGCGAGACACACGUCCUCUGCAGGUGGUCGUGGCCGGACUGCCGUGAGGAACGGAGCGAGACGCAACAUCAUUUUGUCUGGCUCGGGUGAAAAUUCGUUAUUUGGUAAGUAACUGUUUUUUGUUGUAGUGUAUAACAUAACUCUCUGUUAAAUAACGCUUGCACACAAGUUGUGAAACGUUCUUAAAAGUUAAACCAGGGAAAUUCCCCAUUUCCAUGUCAGCAUUCAAGCUAACGUUAGUUAGCUGAGCUCGUUAGCAUCAUGACCAAAGGUCAGAAAGUCAGUCAGUCAUCUUCAAAGCCACAAAGGGGUCAAUCGCUGCCAACGUCGCUCCAUGUCCGUAAACACGGCUAAAGGAGCCAAAGUGCGCAGCUUUAGUAAAUGUUAGCUAACGAUAAUGAAAGUGACGGUGGGCUCUCUGGUGAUGGGCUCUCAUUAGGCAUUUGGGAGAAAGAG